GAUCAGGUAGGAAUACCCGCUGAACUUAAGCAUAUC
RNAcentral lists this ribosomal RNA (36 nucleotides) under Coniella vitis. Its description in RNAcentral is "partial 28S ribosomal RNA". Lineage: Eukaryota; Fungi; Ascomycota; Sordariomycetes; Diaporthales; Schizoparmaceae. The record is from RNAcentral.